GUGCUCGCUUUGGCAGCACAUAUGCUAAAAUUGGAACAAUACAAAGAUUAGCAUGGCCCCUGCGCAAGGAUGACAGGUUAAUUUUUUAACAUUUAAAAAAAAAAA
Small nuclear RNA from Sapajus apella (tufted capuchin), 105 nucleotides. Lineage: Eukaryota; Metazoa; Chordata; Mammalia; Primates; Cebidae. The record is from RefSeq and is a predicted model, not a curated record.